This 393-nucleotide ribosomal RNA is filed under the name uncultured bacterium. Its description in RNAcentral is "bacterial SSU rRNA". It matches the Rfam family "Bacterial small subunit ribosomal RNA", at positions 28 to 422 of the family's 1533-position model. The record is from RNAcentral.
GACGAACGCUGGCGGCGUGCUUAACACAUGCAAGUCGAGCGGUAAGGCCCUUUCGGGGGUACACGAGCGGCGAACGGGUGAGUAACACGUGGGUGACCUGCCCUCAGCUCUGGGAUAAGCCCGGGAAACUGGGUCUAAUACCGGAUAUGACUCCAUGACGCAUGUUGUGGGGUGGAAAGCCUUGUGCGGCUGAGGAUGGGCCCGCGGCCUAUCAGCUUGUUGGUGGGGUGAUGGCCCACCAAGGCGACGACGGGUAGCCGGCCUGAGAGGGCGACCGGCCACACUGGGACUGAGAUACGGCCCAGACUCCUACGGGAGGCAGCAGUGGGGAAUCUUGCGCAAUGGGCGAAAGCCUGACGCAGCGACGCCGCGUGAGGGAUGACGGCCUGGUGU